AGGACGAACGCUGGCGGCGUGCCUCAUACAUGCAAGUGGAGCGACGAACCAGGAUUUAUCCUGGGGCAAAGCCGCGAACGGGUGAGUAACACGUGGGUUACCUGCCCCGAUGAUUGGGACAACCCGAGGAAACUCGGGCUAAUACCAAAUGUGCCCGUGGUUGUGAUGAUCACGAGGAAAGGAAGCUUCGGCCUCCGCAUCGGGAUGGGCCCGCGGCCCAUUAGCUAGUUGGUGGGGUAAAGGCCUACCAAGGCGACGAUGGGUAGCUGGUCUGAGAGGACGAUCAGCCACACUGGGACUGAGACACGGCCCAGACUCCUACGGGAGGCAGCAGUGGGGAAUAUUGGACAAUGGGCGCAAGCCUGAUCCAGCAAUGCCGCGUGAGUGAAGAAGGUCUUCGGAUUGUAAAGCUCUUUCGACGGGACGAUGAUGACGGUACCGUAGAAGAAGCCCGGCUAACUUCGUGCCAGCAGCCGC
This 477-nucleotide ribosomal RNA is filed under the name uncultured bacterium. RNAcentral's name for it is "SSU rRNA". It matches the Rfam family "Bacterial small subunit ribosomal RNA", at positions 26 to 518 of the family's 1533-position model. The record is from RNAcentral.